RNAcentral lists this ribosomal RNA (253 nucleotides) under uncultured bacterium. Its description in RNAcentral is "partial 16S ribosomal RNA". It matches the Rfam family "Bacterial small subunit ribosomal RNA", at positions 80 to 334 of the family's 1533-position model. The record is from RNAcentral.
CUAAGGAGAUGGCGACCGGCGCACGGGUGAGUAACACGUAUCCAACCUGCCGAUAACUCGGGGAUAGCCUUUCGAAAGAAAGAUUAAUACCCGAUGGUAUAAUUAGACCGCAUGGUCUUGUUAUUAAAGAAUUUCGGUUAUCGAUGGGGAUGCGUUCCAUUAGGCAGUUGGUGAGGUAACGGCUCACCAAACCUUCGAUGGAUAGGGGUUCUGAGAGGAAGGUCCCCCACAUUGGAACUGAGACACGGUCCAA